This 1460-nucleotide ribosomal RNA is filed under the name Escherichia coli. RNAcentral describes it as "partial 23S ribosomal RNA". It matches the Rfam family "Bacterial large subunit ribosomal RNA", at positions 296 to 1765 of the family's 2925-position model. Lineage: Bacteria; Pseudomonadati; Pseudomonadota; Gammaproteobacteria; Enterobacterales; Enterobacteriaceae. The record is from RNAcentral.
AGCCCAGAGCCUGAAUCAGUGUGUGUGUUAGUGGAAGCGUCUGGAAAGGCGCGCGAUACAGGGUGACAGCCCCGUACACAAAAAUGCACAUACUGUGAGCUCGAUGAGUAGGGCGGGACACGUGGUAUCCUGUCUGAAUAUGGGGGGACCAUCCUCCAAGGCUAAAUACUCCUGACUGACCGAUAGUGAACCAGUACCGUGAGGGAAAGGCGAAAAGAACCCCGGCGAGGGGAGUGAAAAAGAACCUGAAACCGUGUACGUACAAGCAGUGGGAGCACAGAGCAAUCUGUGUGACUGCGUACCUUUUGUAUAAUGGGUCAGCGACUUAUAUUCUGUAGCAAGGUUAACCGAAUAGGGGAGCCGAAGGGAAACCGAGUCUUAACUGGGCGUUAAGUUGCAGGGUAUAGACCCGAAACCCGGUGAUCUAGCCAUGGGCAGGUUGAAGGUUGGGUAACACUAACUGGAGGACCGAACCGACUAAUGUUGAAAAAUUAGCGGAUGACUUGUGGCUGGGGGUGAAAGGCCAAUCAAACCGGGAGAUAGCUGGUUCUCCCCGAAAGCUAUUUAGGUAGCGCCUCGUGAAUUCAUCUCCGGGGGUAGAGCACUGUUUCGGCAAGGGGGUCAUCCCGACUUACCAACCCGAUGCAAACUGCGAAUACCGGAGAAUGUUAUCACGGGAGACACACGGCGGGUGCUAACGUCCGUCGUGAAGAGGGAAACAACCCAGACCGCCAGCUAAGGUCCCAAAGUCAUGGUUAAGUGGGAAACGAUGUGGGAAGGCCCAGACAGCCAGGAUGUUGGCUUAGAAGCAGCCAUCAUUUAAAGAAAGCGUAAUAGCUCACUGGUCGAGUCGGCCUGCGCGGAAGAUGUAACGGGGCUAAACCAUGCACCGAAGCUGCGGCAGCGACGCUUAUGCGUUGUUGGGUAGGGGAGCGUUCUGUAAGCCUGUGAAGGUGUGCUGUGAGGCAUGCUGGAGGUAUCAGAAGUGCGAAUGCUGACAUAAGUAACGAUAAAGCGGGUGAAAAGCCCGCUCGCCGGAAGACCAAGGGUUCCUGUCCAACGUUAAUCGGGGCAGGGUGAGUCGACCCCUAAGGCGAGGCCGAAAGGCGUAGUCGAUGGGAAACAGGUUAAUAUUCCUGUACUUGGUGUUACUGCGAAGGGGGGACGGAGAAGGCUAUGUUGGCCGGGCGACGGUUGUCCCGGUUUAAGCGUGUAGGCUGGUUUUCCAGGCAAAUCCGGAAAAUCAAGGCUGAGGCGUGAUGACGAGGCACUACGGUGCUGAAGCAACAAAUGCCCUGCUUCCAGGAAAAGCCUCUAAGCAUCAGGUAACAUCAAAUCGUACCCCAAACCGACACAGGUGGUCAGGUAGAGAAUACCAAGGCGCUUGAGAGAACUCGGGUGAAGGAACUAGGCAAAAUGGUGCCGUAACUUCGGGAGAAGGCACGCUGAUAUGUAGGUGA